Molecule: ribosomal RNA, 456 nt
Filed under: Microbacterium sp. iMSN37
Lineage: Bacteria; Bacillati; Actinomycetota; Actinomycetes; Micrococcales; Microbacteriaceae
Description: bacterial SSU rRNA
Rfam family: Bacterial small subunit ribosomal RNA
Source: RNAcentral
AGAGUUUGAUCCUGGCUCAGGAUGAACGCUGGCGGCGUGCUUAACACAUGCAAGUCGAACGGUGAACACGGAGCUUGCUCUGUGGGAUCAGUGGCGAACGGGUGAGUAACACGUGAGCAACCUACCCCUGACUCUGGGAUAAGCGCUGGAAACGGCGUCUAAUACUGGAUACGAGUGGCGACCGCAUGGUCAGCUACUGGAAAGAUUUAUUGGUUGGGGAUGGGCUCGCGGCCUAUCAGCUUGUUGGUGAGGUAAUGGCUCACCAAGGCGUCGACGGGUAGCCGGCCUGAGAGGGUGACCGGCCACACUGGGACUGAGACACGGCCCAGACUCCUACGGGAGGCAGCAGUGGGGAAUAUUGCACAAUGGGCGCAAGCCUGAUGCAGCAACGCCGCGUGAGGGAUGACGGCCUUCGGGUUGUAAACCUCUUUUAGCAGGGAAGAAGCGAAAGGGACG